ACGCUCGACACCUACGGAGGCAGCAGUGGGGAAUAUUGCACAAUGGGGGAAACCCUGAUGCAGCGACGCCGCGUGGAGGAAGAAGGUCUUCGGAUUGUAAACUCCUGUUGUUGGGGAAAAAGAGGAUGGUACCCAACAAGGAAGUGACGGCUAACUACGUGCCAGCAGCCGCGGUAAUCUGAGGCGGGCUGGCAAGGC
Molecule: ribosomal RNA, 198 nt
Filed under: uncultured bacterium
Lineage: Bacteria
Description: partial 16S ribosomal RNA
Rfam family: Bacterial small subunit ribosomal RNA
Source: RNAcentral